UUUUUUUUUAAAGAAAGAAGAAAAGGUCAAGGAACUUUCAAUGUAAAAUUUGUUCUUGUACUUAAAGCUAUUAGGUUUUUAUUUAAGGACUCACAAGAAGCUGACAAAAUAGAAAACAUUUACUUCCUUAUUAUUGCAGCUGACCUUUAAAAACAUGUUUUUAAAUAUACUGCCCAUUUUCAUUUAGCUAUUAUAGUUCAAAACUUUGGAAGCAUGUUGCCAUUCCAAAUGCACAGAACAAACAACAUUGGUUCUCAGUCUUUUUCUGGAUUAAAUUAGCAUAGCUAUUUUUAUUUAACACAUAAGCACAUAUUCAAAAUCAGAAAUGGAAGGACACCUAGCAACCUACCCAGCAAGUAGGUUCCCACUCUCAGUCACACCUUGGAGAAGAUGUUCUCUCUAUUACAGAAGUAACACAACCUCUAAAGACUAAAAUUAGUAUCUGUGAAUAUUUACAGUCUUGACCAUUUCAUCACUCAAAAACCUAACAAUACAAUUUAUACUGCAGUCAUUGUUAACUCCAUUGUUAGAAACCUGUAACCUAAAACAAGCCAAUGUCCAGACUUAUAAAAAAAAAAACCAACAAAACAAAACAAACAUUUUAAAUGCCUGAAUUAAUACUAUUGUGUCUUCAUUUCAAAAGCUUACUUAAAUUUUGUCAUAUCGAUAAAAUACCCACUCUAUAUACACACGCUGAUUUUGCAAUCUUCUACAUGGUGUAACAGCCUUCUACAUUAAGACAGGAAUUUUGGAAUAAAAAGAGAGCACGAUUUUACAGUCCGAAGACAAGGUUUUCAGUAGAGACAAGCAAAAUAAAUUCUAGAGCUAUAAAUCACUCUUUGGCUAUAUCUUUUUAUAACAAUGCUUGCAUUUGUACACAGUAAAAACCAAAUUACAUACAGAUAAAUUGGCAAAGAUGUCCAUUAAUACACAGUGGAAGAGCACUAUCUGCAUUAGUACCAGGAAGUGCACUUGCAGUAUAUAUUCCCAAGGACCUGCAUGAGCUGUACAGCCCACACUGAGAUGCAUACUCCUACAGCUACAAUGCUGUUGGCACUCAAGCUUUACAGAGUAAAACCAGCUGGGAGAAGCCUACUCAUAACUCAUUCUGCAAUAUCUGAUAAAGUUCUACACAACUGUUGGUAUCUACCUCAGCAGAGCUCUUACAAAACAAAAUGCCUCUUUCACCACAAAAUUUGUUGAAAAUCAAGGUCAGCCUGGCAAAAAUAUGCAUUCAUUUAUCUUUUGAAGAUGACCU
This 1258-nucleotide long non-coding RNA is filed under the name Strigops habroptila (Kakapo). RNAcentral's name for it is "lncRNA (ENSSHBG00005017905.1)". Lineage: Eukaryota; Metazoa; Chordata; Aves; Psittaciformes; Psittacidae. The record is from RNAcentral.